AACAACUUGAAGUUUCUUUAUUUAGACCUUAACCACUUCAACAACAGCAUCUUUUCAUCUCUAGGUGGUCUUUCAUCACUCAGAAACUUAUCAUUGGCUGCUAAUCGAUUGAAUGGAAGUGUUGAUAUUAAAGGUAAGUAAGCUUCAUCCCUUCUCCCCUGUCCCAUCUUUUGUGGAUCUUAUUUCACUGAGCAGCUGGAAGUAUUGAUACGAGAUCUAGCUAGACUCUUGCGAGUUUAGGCUUCACGGCUUUGAAUAGUAUAAAAAUAAGUUGAAGAAAUUAUCAAUAUAUUGCAAUUUUCAAUGCUUCUCAUAAUCAGACACAAUUCAAUCUAAUUAUUUCGUAUGUCCUGUCUUCAAAAGUAAAGAAUUGUACACUAAUUGGAAAUCGACAUCGUAGCUUUUUAUUUUCUGUAAUGCUAUUUCUUCGUUAACAAGUUUAUAUCCUAAGAGGGAUUGGAUUGAAAAAAAAAAAAGAAGUUUUGAUGUUCAAUGUAAGCCAUGAUAACCUGCAUCUUAUUUGUCUGCCGACAUCCAAAUUUGUGCACUGAAUUUAGUAUUUUGGUUAUUGUGAAGGGAUCAGAUAUUGGCUUCCAUAGACCAACUUGUAUUUACUUAAUUAAUUAAUUAACGACAUUUAGUAUUUAACAAAUUAAAAUUUCAUGUUUAAUCUAUUUUAAUUUUUUAAGAAAAAAGAAAUAGAUAUAGCAGCAGGUAAAGCUGAAAUAAAUUUUAAUUCCUUACAAAUUUAAAUUCAUGGUUGUCAGCUAAAUAUAACUGCUUAAAGCCACUCUUUUCGCUGAGAUUUAACCAAAAAAAAAGGAGAAAAUAAUUUAUUUAAUUAACUCUGUUUUAAGUGUUGGAAUAAAUACAGGACUAGAAUCCUUGAGUAACUUGGAGAUGCUGGACAUGAGGGACAAUGCAAUCGACAAUCUAGUGGUUCCUAAAGGUAUACAAAAUGACACUAACCCAAAAUAAUUUAAUCCGAAAUUGUAUCCCAAAUAGAUUACAGAGGUUUGAGGAAGUUGGAUACCCUUUAUUUGGGGGGGAAGGGAAAUUGCAGUGAUAUAUGGAAGCAAGGUGUUGCAAUCAAUAAAGAAAUUCGUUGGUCAAUAUUCAAGGACUCAUCCAAAGUAAUCGUUAAACAUUUCUUCAAUGAUGAUCAACGUCUCAAAACUAGGUAGACGCGGGAGAUGAUGAGAAUAAUUUAGAUUGUUGUCAGUGGGAAGGGAUUGAGUGCAACAAAACCACAGGCAGAGUGAUUAAAUUAGAAUCUAGCACAAACUCGAAAAUGGGAAUCAGCGAAGUGGUAUAUGAAUGCCUCUCUGUUUACUCCCUUUCAACAAUUAGAGUCUCUUGAUCUAAUUGGGAACAAUAUAGCUGAUUGUGUUAAAAACGAAGGUCAUUAAUUUACUCUAUUUUAAUUCUUCCUCCUCGUAAUUUCUUACAUCUAUCUGAUCCCUUUCGGCUUUUGUUUAAUUUGUACGUGAUACAAUAAAAUUAUUUUUUUUUCAGGUCUGGAGAGGUUAUCAAGGUUGAACAACUUGAAGUUUCUUGAUUUAGGCUUUAACCACUUCAACAACAGCAUCUUUUCAUCUCUAGGUGGUCUUUCAUCACUUAGACACUUAUCAUUGGCUGAUAAUAGAUUGAAUGGAAGUAUUGAUGUUAAAGAUAAGCAAGCUUCAUCCCUUCUCUCGUGUCCCAUCUUUGUGGAUCUUAUUUCAUCGACCAGCUGGAAGUAUUGAUACGAGAUCUAGCUAGACUCUUGCUAGUUUAAGCUUCAAGGCUUUGAAUAUUAUAAAAAUAAGUUUAAGGAAUUAUCAAUAUAUGCAAUUUUCUAUGCUUCUCAUAAUCAGACACAAUUCAAUCUAAUUAUUUCGUAUGUCAUGUCUUCAAAAGUAAAGAAUUGUACACUAAACGGAA
This 1923-nucleotide long non-coding RNA is filed under the name Citrus maxima (pomelo). RNAcentral describes it as "long non-coding RNA (CMAX_LNC003450)". The record is from RNAcentral. Lineage: Eukaryota; Viridiplantae; Streptophyta; Magnoliopsida; Sapindales; Rutaceae.